AAGCAACGCGAAGAACUUACCAGGCCUUGACAUGCAGAGAACUUCCAGAGAUGGAUUGGUGCCUUCGGGAACUCUGACACAGGUGCUGCAUGGCUGUCGUCAGCUCGUGUCGUGAGAUGUUGGGUUAAGUCCCGUAACGAGCGCAACCCUUGUCCUUAGUUACCAGCACGUUAUGGUGGGCACUCUAAGGAGACUGCCGGUGACAAACCGGAGGAAGGUGGGGGAUGACGUCAAGUCAUCAUGGCCCUUACGGCCUGGGCUACACACGUGCUACAAUGGUCGGUACAAAGGGUUGCCAAGCCGCGAGGUGGAGCUAAUCCCAUAAAACCGAUCGUAGUCCGGAUCGCAGUCUGCAACUCGACUGCGUGAAGUCGGAAUCGCUAGUAAUCGUGAAUCAGAAUGUCACGGUGAAUACGCUCCCGGGCCUU
RNAcentral lists this ribosomal RNA (428 nucleotides) under uncultured Pseudomonas sp. RNAcentral describes it as "bacterial SSU rRNA". It matches the Rfam family "Bacterial small subunit ribosomal RNA", at positions 954 to 1382 of the family's 1533-position model. The record is from RNAcentral. Lineage: Bacteria; Pseudomonadati; Pseudomonadota; Gammaproteobacteria; Pseudomonadales; Pseudomonadaceae.